CAAAACCCCGCGAAAAAUCUGUUGGCGGAAGUAGGUAAAGCUGCAGGUUGGAAUGCUUUGACAAGUUGAAGGAACGUGUUGCAUAUGCAGGCUUACUUAACAUGUGCGGUAUCCAUUGUUGGUAACGUCGGGGCUGAAGCCAGGAUUAGCGGUGAUAAAGAAAAGGCUUAUUGGAUUUCGAGACAUGUGAAGGGAAUUACGGGAGUGCGUGUGAACUCCAUUCAUGAAUUGUGUUUUUCUAUUUUUGUGCCUGCACUCUGCAGACUAAGCAAGGUCACUUUAAACUCAUGUUGGAAGCAGUAAGACUGCUGCAGUGACUUGAAACCCAGGUGAUGGAGGCAUCAGCUCAAGAUCCAACAUCUGCCUCUUCUGCAUCAUCAGAAUGGGUUGCCAUAGCAACUGAGGUUGAGCUACAGGAGAUUGGACGAAAGACUGCACUCGUCUCCAAUCGAAAAAUUACAGUAUUCUAUCGGGACAGGAGAUUUUAUGCAAUGGACUUCCACUGUUACCAUGCUGGUGGACCACUUGAUGUUGGAAAUAUAGAGGACAUCAAUGGAAUCAGCUGUAUUGUGUGUCCAUGGCACAAGUACAAGAUUAGCUUGGAGACAGGGGAAGGGUUCUAUCAAUCAAUUGAGGUUGCUGAAUUGUCGUCAGGAAUGCCCUACAUCCUUUGCCACACAGUAAUUCAUAAAUUAGAUGCAACUGAUGUUCAAAGUUACACUUGAGUGACAUUAAUUCACUCUUGCUGUUACAUAUUUGGCAAGUGAUUACUCUCAACUGAUGAAAGUAUCCAAGACAGAAGAGUAUGAGACCUGAAGAAUCCGAGACGGGCUCCAUGCUGGAAAUCAAAGGGCAUAAAACAGCGAACGCAUAGCGUAGAGGUCAGAGAAG
Molecule: unclassified non-coding RNA, 891 nt
Filed under: Acanthaster planci (crown-of-thorns starfish)
Lineage: Eukaryota; Metazoa; Echinodermata; Asteroidea; Valvatida; Acanthasteridae
Description: rieske domain-containing protein-like, transcript variant X4
Source: RNAcentral